This 28-nucleotide small RNA is filed under the name Bombyx mori (domestic silkworm). Its description in RNAcentral is "ovarian small RNA-31339". Lineage: Eukaryota; Metazoa; Arthropoda; Insecta; Lepidoptera; Bombycidae. The record is from RNAcentral.
UGACACAUUUGUUCAGGGCGCCGUCCAU